RNAcentral lists this long non-coding RNA (537 nucleotides) under Marmota monax (woodchuck). The record is from RNAcentral. Lineage: Eukaryota; Metazoa; Chordata; Mammalia; Rodentia; Sciuridae.
CAUAAAUGUCUUUUUAGUUCCUUUCCAAUUUUAAUAUUUUUAUUAUUCAACAUAUUUUUCUCAUGAAUGUUGUCUAAAUUCGUCAUUUAACCAAGUCCACAUUUGUAUGCACAAUUAACCUGUGCUCUACUUUACAUACUUAAAGAAAUUUGAAAAUUUAAUGAACACUCUAGCGAUGUUUAAUAUUUUGGUGUGUUAUCUUACUUAGGAAACCCUCUUGCAUAUUAUGGGGAAGAAGGGGGCUGGGAAUUUAGUAAAUCAUAUUUUUGUUACUUUCAUCAAAGGGUGAUAACUGUGUGUCUCCAAAAAAAUGUGAUUCUGUCAUCUCUGAGCAUCACUUACAUUCAAGUCACCUAAUCUUUAUUGAGGGUCUAGGACAUAUCAGGCAAUGCACUAGAAAUUAGAGUGGAUAAGGCAUGACAUUUUGCUAGAAUCAUUUAAAGUCCUUCUAACUCUACUUUUGUCAGUGAAACUGGUAAGUCCUGUCUUUGGAAUUUAUUGUUCUAAAAACAGUGCUUUUUUCUUUAUUUUUCUUUC